Long non-coding RNA from Ipomoea triloba (trilobed morning glory), 749 nucleotides. RefSeq lists it as uncharacterized. The transcript has 2 exons. The record is from RefSeq and is a predicted model, not a curated record. Lineage: Eukaryota; Viridiplantae; Streptophyta; Magnoliopsida; Solanales; Convolvulaceae.
AUUGCUAUAUUAUUGAUUGCUUGCCAGGAAACAAUGGCCAUAAUUCUCUACCUUUGCUCAGUGUUCACCCAACAAUCUUUCCUUCCUUUUCUUGAAAACUUGAAAGCUUUCCUAUCUAUCAUGGCUGCUCUCAACACUCUAAUCCAGCUUCGAGUCAAGUCGUGUUUGCAGAGUUCUCUUUAACACGACACAAACCUUUGAUUUUGCAACAGAUGUGUUUGUAGAGUUCUCUUUAACAUGGCACAUAACAUUCGAUUUUGCAAUAAAUGUGUUUGCAGAGUUUUCUUUAACAUGCACAUAACUUUAAUUUUGAUUUUGCAACAGAUGUGUCUGCAGAGUUCUCUUUAACAUGACACAUGACCUUCGAUUCUGCAACAGAUUAGCAGCUCAUUUAUCGUCUGUUCCAAGCUAUUGGGUCGAAAAUGGAAUAGUUUAAGAUCAGAUCCUGCUAACAGAACUGGUAAAUGCAUUUACGUUGUGCAGAGAUCGAUACUGCAAUGCCCAAAAGGGAGAAACAUGCAAAAGGAAACCCGUAUUAACCUUUGAAUAAUGGGUAUCUAAAUCAACAGCUGCCCUUUGCUCGGGAGUCUUUGCCUUCAGAAAACGGACAGCAAUUGACAAAGUUCGACGAUCAAGCUGUAGAAGGAGAAAACUACAUGUUACCAUGAUUAAUUAGGAUGUCAAAAACAUUGGAUAGAUUUAUUUUCUCCAAUUUCUUCGAUAUUUGAGAUCUAAUUGCGUAACUGCCA